UAAGAAAAUCGCGGUGAGAUGGG
Molecule: non-coding RNA, 23 nt
Filed under: Cricetulus griseus (Chinese hamster)
Lineage: Eukaryota; Metazoa; Chordata; Mammalia; Rodentia; Cricetidae
Source: RNAcentral